This 245-nucleotide ribosomal RNA is filed under the name uncultured bacterium. Its description in RNAcentral is "partial 16S ribosomal RNA". It matches the Rfam family "Bacterial small subunit ribosomal RNA", at positions 524 to 768 of the family's 1533-position model. The record is from RNAcentral.
AACGUAGGAGCCAAGCGUUAUCCGAAUUCACUGGGCGUAAAGCGCGAGCAGGCGGUUCGCUAAGUUGGAUGUGAAAUCUCCCGGCUCAACUGGGAGAGGCCGGACAAGACUGGCGGACUGGAGGACGGUAGAGGGAGGUGGAAUUCCCGGUGUAGUGGUGAAAUGCGUAGAUAUCGGGAGGAACACCCGUGGCGAAGGCGGCCUCCUGGACCGUACCUGACGCUGAGAUGCGAAAGCUAGGGGAG